Molecule: non-coding RNA, 6345 nt
Organism: Pelobates cultripes (western spadefoot toad)
Lineage: Eukaryota; Metazoa; Chordata; Amphibia; Anura; Pelobatidae
Source: the annotation of a GenBank genome assembly
CACAAUAUCACAGUCCAUGCGUAAUCCAACACGCAAUCUGACAGUCCAUGCACACUAUCACAGUCCAUGCGUAAUCCAACACACAAUCUACCUGCCCAUGUGCAAUCAAACACACAAUCUGACAGUUUCCGGCCCCUCUCUCAGGUGGGGCCGAUCCUUUUUUUUGGGCAUCACCAGUGGCGCAAAUCAUGUCCCUAUUUCAUCCUCUCAAUGAGGGGAGGAAGUAAAGGCUGGCAAUAAUAUAGAAAGGGCAGUAGAUACCUGGUACGGGAGCAGUAACAGUGAUAUAGAAAGAGUAUAAAUCUUUGCAUUUAUAUAGCGGUAACGUAUUCUGCAGCAAUUUACAAUUCUAGAAAUGGGAUAUUUGGCAAGUGAUUUACAUACAGAAUAUAACAGACAAGAGGUGAAGAAGGCGUGCUCAGACAAGCUUACAAUCUAUGAGGAAGGUGUGUGUGACGAAAGUGCCUUUGUCACUGGGAGUUGGAGAGGCCUGCUUGCCAGCCUCUUGCCCUGUGACUAUGGCCCCUAGGAUGUAUUGCCCUUUACAAGUCCUAUUUGGGCAUAUUGGAUUUUAAUAUACUGUUGCUUCCCCUUUAAAAUAUAUGGGAACAGCUUUGCACUUUUGAAGUGGCACAUCGAAUACAGCGAAGUACCAAAGUAGUCAAACGGGCCGCCAUUCAACAUACAAACACAUGGCGGCGGCCAUUUUAAUCCAGUCGAACGCGUUCAAUGGUGUUGUCGAGUUCAUGGAACUCAAAUCAGACGCGCGACGGCACGAACACCGCUGAACAUUACCUUUUCCAGACUUCAACUGGAGUCUAUUUGAACUGCAUUUAACAUUGGAAAUAGACCGGCUAUGCGGCCAAAUUUUCUGGAACUGUUUUGGGUAUGAAAUCAUGCGUGCGGUCAAAAGAGAAUUCCACAAAACCUUAACCCCAUGGCAAUUUUACUACGUUCGUGGGAUCUGAGCGCUGUUCAGAUAUGUUGAGCGCUUAGAUCUGAGCUAUCUGGGCAUAGGUUGAAUGUGGGGUUUCAGUUCUAUGGAAUAUGUUACCGUAUUUUUCGCUCCAUAAGACGCACCUAGUUUUUAGAGGAGGAAAACAAGAAAAAAAAUAUUCUGAAUCAAAUGUUGUAUUAAACUAUUUAAUAAACUACCAGUAUAUCAGAAUAAUAUUUCAAACAUGUAAAGUAAACAGCAGCAUUAAGUCAACAGUGGUAUUAAGAACCUUCAUCACUGUCAUUAACAAAUGAAGAGAAACUUUAAGGUUUGAGUACUCUUCUAGUCUUCUGUGAACCCCAAGAACUCAUCAUUGCUAGAGUCAGAAUUUAGGAAGCUCAGUUGCUCACAAUCACUGACAUCACUUUCUUCGCUAUCUUCAUAUAAGAUAUCAUCUUCAUUUCCAUCCAAAGCAUUGCUAAUGCCACAUUUUUUGAAUGACUGGACAACGAUUUCCUCCUUCACAGAGUGCCACGAUGUUUUCACCCAUUCACAAACUUGAGUGAUAGUGGGCCUCUUCAUUCGUCCAGCAGGUGUCAAAUCAUGAUUGCCAGCAGCCAUCCAUUUGUUCCACUCUUCUCGCAUAAAAACCUUAAAUGGUUUGUUGAUGGAAACGUCGAGAGGUUGCAACUGGCUGGUAAGACCUCCAGGAAUUACAGCUAGAUGAGUUUUCACUUCUUUAAAGCACUUUUUUGUAGUUUCACUAAUAUGUGCUCUAAAUUGGUCAAGUACUAAUAAGGCAGGUUUUUUCAGAAGCCCUCCAGGACGAUUGGACCACACUUUUUCUAUCCAUACUCUCAUUCCACUUUCGUCCAUCCAUCCUUUCUCAUGAACAUGAACAACAACUCCUCUUGGAAUCACUUCUUUUGGAAGAGUUUUCCUUUUGAAAAUUAACAUGGGUGGCAAUUUGGUGCCGUCUGCGCAGCAAGACAAAACAACCGUGUAAUGGGUUUUCUCAUGUCCGGAGGUUUUCACGGUGAUAGUUUUGGCACCUUUCAGAUCAACAGUCCUAUUAGAUGGCACAUCAAAAGUUAGCGGGACUUCAUCCAUAUUCCCAAUCUGGCCAAUUUCAUACCCAUUUUUCUUCCUAGCAUCAAUGACAAAUUUAUGAAAAGAAAGAAUCUUAGAUUCAUAUUCUUUUGGCAUUUUUUGCGCAAUUCUAGUUUUGGUGCGCAUAGCAAGGCCACAUCGCUUCAUAAAUCUGUAGCACCACGAUGGUGAUCCAAUAAAAUCGUGAAUGCCUUUCUCUACAGCAAUGCGUUUGGCUUCAUAUAUUAUCAUUUUUGUAGAGACUGAGAAACCAUUAUUCCGGUGAUUUGUGAUCCAUUCUUUCAUGGCCACGUCUAACUGUGGCCACUUUGCAGCAUGUACACGAAGGGUGUGCUUACUUUUAUCCACUUUUUGUAGCUGAUCCUCCUGUUUCCUCCACUCUCUUAUAAUUUUUUCAGUUGGAGGUGGCCCAAAAUGUCUCUCCGCUGCUCUGUUUCCAUGCUCCUUAGCAUACUUUACUACCUCUAGUUUAAAAGGAAUCUUAUAUGCUAGUCUUUUUUGCUUGAUCAUCCUUGUAUGUAGAAUGGGGGAAAGUUUCUGCAAGUAAAUACAGUGAUGAAGGAACGGUCAGUAAUGUACCGUAAGUGAUAUCAGUACCAAUAACCCAUCACAUGCUUUGCCUAAUGACUUCAGAAUUUACCCGGUAACAUGGUCUACAUAUAAUGCCCAGCUCAUUACCAUUUUGUUCAAGAAAUAUUCAGUUUAAUGGGAACGGGAACACAUACUGUCGGUCAAUUAUUGAUUACACACAUGAAAGAUCUAUAAAAUUCCACAAGGAAAAUAAAUGUGCAAAUUCAACUUGCACUUUUCAGAGAACUGCCCCAUUAAUCUGAUCUCUGACAAUUUAAAUAAAAUUAAUAUUACCGGUAUAUUCAAUAUAUAUUAAUAAUGUAAUUACAUGUUGUAAUAUGUUGUAAUACAUUACAAACAUAUUACAACAUGUUGUGGGAAUAUAAUUAGCUGAUUAAACAUUUUUUUUUGAUUCACUAGUAACAGUGCUGUUGAAGUGAGGAAAGCUAGGUGGCGGUAGAUCUCUUACCUCAAAUCCCGGCGAGACCACUGCUGUUGAAGUGAGGGAAGCUAGGUGGCGGUAGAUCCCGGCAAGACCAGUGCUGUUCGAGUGAGGGAAGCUAGGAACAUUUGUUACGAGCGAGCGGGGAAGAAGCACGGCGACGGACAGACGCAAUACCGGAACCCCAGGAGCCUCCUCUCUGCCGCGCGAUCAACUUUUCAUCACGGGACUCCGGCAUUUUGACUCAAGGUACCACACAUUCGCUCCAUAAGACGCACAUACAUUUCCCCUCACUUUUGAGGGGGAAAAAAGUGCGUCUUAUGGAGCGAAAAAUACGGUAUGUAUUUUAAUGUGUUUUGUUGGAGUUGUAAUUUGGAGAAAUUUUCUGUACCUGGAGAUUAUUGAGUUUACUACGGCUACUUAAGCCAAUUAUCUCCAGGAUAGAAGGGAGGGAUUUUAAUGUGUAAGUGGGAGUGUCAGACAUUGUUGUAUUGUUUUGAUUGGUUUGUGUCCUUUGUAUGCCAUUAUGUCCAGGGGGUGUGCCUCUGGCCUGAGGAAUUGUAUAAAUUGUGAGUGCUUGCUUCCAUUAAACAGACAUGCUUACCCCUUCAUGAAGUCUUGGCUCAUGUUUGGGGGAUUGGAGAACUACACUCUGGGGAUUGCUAUCAUCACUAUACUCCCCAGAGUAUAAUCAUUAGCUCUUGUAAGAGCUGUUCCUGAUCUCUGGAUUUAGGAGAGGUCUGCCUACUGGAAGCUGGAUCCUGGUCUUGGGUCCAGAGUGGGUGGAAGACGGCAAGACCCCAACCAAACUGCGGCAGUUCGUGGAGUCUGCGGUGGUUAUGGUGUCUGGUGGAGUGCUUGGAGCCCUCGGAAAGCACUAGGAGCAUCUGUCAACGGAAGGUACCCGGUCGGGGUGCCAGGUGUUCCGUUACAGUGUGAAACUACACAAGAGAAAUAACAGAGGAAGUAGAAAUUGGUGGAUAAGAUACUUGUGUUGAUAUAAGCUGGUAAAACUGGUGAGUGGAACAAGCAAACCGUGAGCCGGGCCGGAAGUGAGAGCAAUUGUAAUGCUCUUUAUUAAAGAGCAGUAUUUACAGUGACUUCGUGAAGGACUGGGGAGAGUCUGAUGGCAUGGGUCUAAAGAAUUCCAACGGAACGGGGCAGCCACUGAAAAACCCUGCAAAUGAGAAUGGAUAAAGCGGGAACGAGAAGAUGUCAGGAGAAGGUCACUUACAGAGCAAAGGGACAAGAAAACGUAUAUUUGUAAAAAUAAGUGUAGUGAGUAGUGGAGUUAGUGAGGGCUUUGUAGGUUAAUGUUAGAUGUUAGAAUUGGAUACUGAAGGGUACAGGAACCAAUGUAAUGAUUGUGGAAGGGGUGAGGGGUUGGAGUAGCGGUCAUUUAGGAAGAGAGGGACAAGGCAGGUAUUUGGAUGCCGAUGACUAGUAAGUUACAAUAUUCAAGUCGGGAAAUAAUGUGAAUGAAAAAGUGCAUGAGUUGUAUCUUCGUUAGAAAAGGCCGAAUGUGGGCAAUAUAUUGGAGGUGGCAGUUACAGGAUUGGAAUAGCCAUCCAGUGGAAGAAGCCUAACCCAAUGGUAACUGAAUGAUGUCUAUGAUGUGUAUAUGUAGUGCAGGAGAUCAGUAAAAUCAGUCGUUCACAAUGAGUAACACAAUUUCAAUGGGCUUUUGACAGUCACCUCAGUCUGAUUCUCCAAUAAAAGCACGGGAGAUGCUACAUCGAAAGGUUUCAGACAAAAUGGCACCCAGAAUGUGCACUGCCGUAAGCUGCCGAGGAAACUCUGAGAAGUUUACACCAUUAUUUCAUUCUGGAAGUAACUGCCGCAGCAGAGAUACCAGUUUCUAGAACCUGAAAUAAACAGAAUGUUUUCACAAAUACACGACAGUCUCUAACCAACAGAUAGAUUGGACGUAAUGCUAAAUUAUUCACUGUGUGUUCUUUAGGCGGAAUAAUGGUAAAUGGUGAAACAGGAAAACGCACGUAAUUUUGAUACUAUAACUUGACGCCUGCGUGUCAGACGCAGAUUUAAUUUAGAAAUAAUAAAAUAAUUCAUAUGGACAUGGCACAGACUAUCCUCUAUCACUGCAGGUAACGUUUAUACAUUAAUAUGAUAGAAAAUAGGGGGUUCAUGGCGUUUGGACGUGUUUCCAGCGAGCUCCUCAGGACAUGCUGAACAAAACCCAUCUAACUGCUGAUCCAAUAAUCUGUUACAAGCGUGCAUUUAUCCCUCUGCAAUAUGCCCCAACAGACCGGUCUGGGGAUACUUCCAGUGUAUACCAGACGCCAAACACUCGUGUGGCCUAGUGGGUGCUGGGGGAGGAGGCGGCCGGUCUUCCGACACCGCGCUGACAGGAUACUGAAACUGGUGAUGAUGCCCCGCUAUCUCCUAUUGGUCCAGCGGGGGUGUUCCUGGUUCCCACCCUAGCGGUUCCCAAAACCUAGCAGGGAUCCAUGGGCUUGUUCUACAUGCCGACGACACCGCCAGGGAUGCAUGUAACAUGGUGGAUGCCACAAGACACCUGGAAUCCCAUGAAGAGACAUCCACUCUUCACCACCGCCUGGAAACACUCUUCGAUGCUUUCUGGAAAAACUCUGAGGUUAAGUCGAUUUUACCUGCUCCUCUGCCCGGUGAGGCUCACUCCAUACUGAUCAGAUGCACCCAAAGCCAUCUGGCUACUACAAUCAAGGUCCCAGUGCACUGGAGAAGGUGGAGGCUGCAUUGGCGACGCAUCAUGAAAGCAGCUGUGAACACUGCGGUACGCCGACAAACCUGGCAGCAUUGCACCCUUAGCAUAAACAUGUGAAUCAUAAGAGGAGAGAUAGGGGGGAAGCAACUGCUGAACUGGAACCCGCAGCUGACUCCAUCGGCUCUGAGGCUGAAGGUUCAUGCCAUGUGGGACUAUGAAUUCCCUAUACUGGGGAUAGGUAUAUGUUUGAGCUGCAUGUUAUACUUCUUUCCACUGUUUAAUACAUGCUCCCUCUUGUUCUGUAACAGAUCUAAGCUGUUUCCUUUUAUCUACACUUCAUGUUUAUAAGCUGAAAACGCAUUUGCAAAAGUUCCUAUUUACUAAGAAUGUCUCCAAUAUGUCUCAGGGCAGUUUAGGUCAGUACACUAUGCUGCCUACUCCUACCAUGUCUCCUCUACAAAUGUCUGUCACAGCAGAUAGCAAUCGAACCUAGACGUGUGUAAUUAGCAUAUUAAUAUAAUAUUAAUUGUGCAGAAUUUUUGAAGCCACAUACUUGUUGAAUACUAUGUGUUGUGGUACAAG